CCAGACUCCUACGGAGGCAGCAGUGAGGAAUAUUGGUCAAUGGCCGAGAGGCUGAACCAGCCAAGUCGCGUGAGGGAAGAAUGUCCUAAGGAUUGUAAACCUCUUUUGUCGGGGAGCAAAAAGGCUCUGCGGAGUCGUAUUGAGAGUACCCGAAGAAAAAGCAUCGGCUAACUCCGUGCCAGCAGCCGCGGUAAUACGGAGGAUGCGAGCGUUAUCCGGAUUUAUUGGGUUUAAAGGGUGCGCAGGCGGAGGCACAAGUCAGCGGUAAAAUCGCGGGGCUCACCCCCGCUCCGCCGUUGAAACUGGCAGUCUCGAGUUGGAGAGAAGUAUGCGGAAUGCGCGGUGUAGCGGUGAAAUGCAUAGAUAUCACGCAGAACUCCGAUUGCGAAGGCAGCAUACCGGCGCUCAACUGACGCUCAUGCACGAAAGCGUGGGUAUCGAACGGGAUUAGAUACCCCCGUAC
This 463-nucleotide ribosomal RNA is filed under the name uncultured bacterium. Its description in RNAcentral is "bacterial SSU rRNA". It matches the Rfam family "Bacterial small subunit ribosomal RNA", at positions 331 to 793 of the family's 1533-position model. The record is from RNAcentral.